This 1091-nucleotide ribosomal RNA is filed under the name Aquarius paludum. RNAcentral describes it as "LSU rRNA". It matches the Rfam family "Eukaryotic large subunit ribosomal RNA", at positions 107 to 902 of the family's 3401-position model. Lineage: Eukaryota; Metazoa; Arthropoda; Insecta; Hemiptera; Gerridae. The record is from RNAcentral.
GCCCAGCGCCGAAUCUCUGGCGCGCCAGCGCGCCAGCGACAUGUGGCGUUCGGGAGGGUCCGUUAUUCCGGGGCUCGCCGUGCCGAGUCCAAGUCCUUCUUGAACGGGGCCACGGUCCGUAGAGGGUGCCAGACCCGUAGCGGCCGACGGCGUCCCCGGGUGGACCUCUCCUUAGAGUCGGGUUGCUUGAGAGUGCAGCCUAAAGCGGGUGGUAAACUCCAUCUAAGGCUAAAUAUCACCACGAGACCGAUAGCCAACAAGUACCGUGAGGGAAAGUUGAAAAGAACUUUGAAGAGAGAGUUCAAUAGUACGUGAAACCGUUCAGGGGUAAACGGGGAAGACUUGAAAAUCCGAAAGGAGAGAUUCACGUCUUCCGCUGGUCCCGUCAAGCCCGUCCGCGUAUGGCCGUACCCCCUCGCUCUGGCUCCGGCUCGGGCGACGGUGGGUCGGCCGGCCGGGCGGGCGCGGCGGGGCUGCGGAGGACCGCACUUCUCUCCCAGUAGGACGUCGCGACCCGUUCGGAGGCAGGCCUGAUGCCGGGCCGUAAGUCUCGAGACCGCCGCGGCCUUCGGGUCGUCGGCGCUCGGGUGGGCCUAGUGCAGGGUAGCGUUACGGACGGUAGUUAUAGACGGUGCUGAACCGCUCCUCGGAGCGCCUUCGGCCACCUCCGAGUCGGUCGUCGAGCGCGGACGCGGGCCUUCCGGGGCCCGCUCCGCUUCGCCUCCGGCUGUCGGGUUGUGGUCCUGGGGCGGUGUUCACGUCACCCGUCGGCGACGCCGCAGUUUCGAGCUCUUACCCGACCCGUCUUGAAACACGGACCAAGGAGUCCAACGUGUGCGCGAGUCGUUGGGCGUCAAAACCCAAAGGCGCAAUUAAGGUGAAGGGGAGCUUGUCUCUCCUAGGGAGGAGGGGGGCACCGCGCCUCACGGGCGGACUCCCCGCACUCCCGCGGCGUCUCAGGCUCAUCGCGAGCCGAGGCGGACCUAGAGCGUUCACGUUGGGACCCGAAAGAUGGUGAACUAUGCCUGGCCAGGACGAAGCCAGGGGAAACCCUGGUGGAGGUCCGUAGCGGUUCUGACGUGCAAAUCGAU